RNAcentral lists this ribosomal RNA (497 nucleotides) under uncultured bacterium. RNAcentral's name for it is "partial 16S ribosomal RNA". It matches the Rfam family "Bacterial small subunit ribosomal RNA", at positions 28 to 507 of the family's 1533-position model. The record is from RNAcentral.
GAUGAACGCUGGCGGCGUGCCUAAUACAUGCAAGUCGAGCGAACGGACGAGAAGCUUGCUUCUCUGAUGUUAGCGGCGGACGGGUGAGUAACACGUGGAUAACCUACCUAUAAGACUGGGAUAACUUCGGGAAACCGGAGCUAAUACCGGAUGAUAUUUUGAACCGCAUGGUUCAAAAGUGAAAGACGGUCUUGCUGUCACUUAUAGAUGGAUCCGCGCUGCAUUAGCUAGUUGGUAAGGUAACGGCUUACCAAGGCAACGAUGCAUAGCCGACCUGAGAGGGUGAUCGGCCACACUGGAACUGAGACACGGUCCAGACUCCUACGGGAGGCAGCAGUAGGGAAUCUUCCGCAAUGGGCGAAAGCCUGACGGAGCAUCGCCGCGUGAGUGAUGAAGGUCUUCGGAUCGUAAAACUCUGUUAUUAGGGAAGAACAUAUGUGUAAGUAACUGUGCACAUCUUGACGGUACCUAAUCAGAAAGCCACGGCUAACUACGUG